CAAAAAUACUUCCAGAAUGUGCAGAAAGGAGAUCUAAAGUUUCUCCUAAUGACCCAGGUGAAAGAAGAAAAGAAGCAUGAGAGUAAUGAAAUGGAAGGACCAAGGACGCUGUGUCACAGUGCUGCUGCAGGUGCUGCUGGGGCCACAGUUGAUGCUGAAUUAAUUCUACCAAGACCGAAGAGCAGAGCUGCAAACCAGCAGUUCCCUACUGCACAGAGUGAAGAACAUGAUAGGUAAGACCACAGCAAUAUGUAAUAGCACAUACCUGCUAUCGUGUGCUAAAGCGAACUCUUAAUUUGUGCUGAUGUACUGAUUAACAAGUCUUUUGGUUGUUUAUUAUGGAAUAUUCAGCCCUUCAUGAUUAUCAGAAUGAUGGAAGUUAACAACGAAGUACCAUUGCUUCCAAUUAUAAUAUUUUAUUACAAUGACCUGGUUGACAUUCUCAUGCACUGUUGCGAUUUGAGAAGAGGGCAGUCUAAAGAUCAGCCAACUUUGAGAAGGUAAGUGGGUUGACAUCUGGGAAGAGUGGAGUUCAAAGAUCGGCCCACAUUGAUUGGCCAAAGUUCAGAAGGUAAGUGGUAACUCAAAGAGCAUGUGUAUUCAAGUGAUACAAUUGUUUAUUGGUUGGUGAUUGAGGUGUGUUCAUUGAAGUGAGACUGUCUAACCGGCUCUUUCAGGAAGCAAGCAGCUGACACUGGUUAUGUGUGAGGCCAGUGGGUCAUUGAGUGAUUAGGUUUAAAACUGGUUUGAGUGGCUACUUAUUACUAGGGUUACAGGGCAGUCCUUUCCUAAAUUUGAAGCAAAUUCAACCAGAUGUUUUCUGGGUAAAAGCCAAUUUCCACCAAGUGUUCUAUGCCAAACCAAUUCCAUUUUUUUUUUAGAACUGUAGAGUUAUUUUUGAAGUUUGGCUCAAGGGUAGUUAUUGUAGGCCCUCAUAACACAAUAAUUCCCCUUGGGAAAUCCCAGAAUUUGUAAAUGUGUUUAGAUGUACAAUAGUGAUAGCCAUUCCUUGUGUUUA
This is a non-coding RNA of Castor canadensis (American beaver), 1018 nucleotides long. The record is from RefSeq and is a predicted model, not a curated record. Lineage: Eukaryota; Metazoa; Chordata; Mammalia; Rodentia; Castoridae.